RNAcentral lists this ribosomal RNA (433 nucleotides) under uncultured bacterium. RNAcentral describes it as "bacterial SSU rRNA". It matches the Rfam family "Bacterial small subunit ribosomal RNA", at positions 29 to 507 of the family's 1533-position model. The record is from RNAcentral.
AGCGAACGCUGGCGGCAGGCCUAACACAUGCAAGUCGAACGGACCCUUCGGGGUUAGUGGCGGACGGGUGAGUAACACGUGGGAACGUGCCUUUAGGUUCGGAAUAGCUCCUGGAAACGGGUGGUAAUGCCGAAUGUGCCCUUCGGGGGAAAGAUUUAUCGCCUUUAGAGCGGCCCGCGUCUGAUUAGCUAGUUGGUGGGGUAAUGGCCCACCAAGGCUACGAUCAGUAGCUGGUCUGAGAGGAUGACCAGCCACAUUGGGACUGAGACACGGCCCAAACUCCUACGGGAGGCAGCAGUGGGGAAUCUUGCGCAAUGGGCGAAAGCCUGACGCAGCCAUGCCGCGUGUAUGAUGAAGGUCUUAGGAUUGUAAAAUACUUUCACCGGUGAAGAUAAUGACUGUAGCCGGAGAAGAAGCCCCGGCUAACUUCGUG